UCAAAUACACCUGAGCAUGCUAAUCAAUGCCAAUCAAUGUCUUUGGGGUCAUUAGAAAAUCACAGGCAGGUGAAUUUGAUCAGGGUUGGAGCUAAACUCUGCAGCGCAUUGGACCUCCAAGGCAAUAUUUGAGGAAGGGGGAUAUAUAGUGUAAUAGUUUAACAUACAUGAUUACUAGUCUUAAUCAACUCACCAUUUUACAUAAACCAUAGGAAACCAUAAAAAGCAUGUUUGGCAGUGUGGAACUGGAAAAUCUAAACCCAAGGAUGGUCACUCAUGUACACAUUAAAGUCAUCUACAACUUAGAGGGACCCUUUCUGGAGUCUUGCACUCAGGGAUCCAUCCUUGGACUUAUAGAGGUUUUUAAAAAACGAGGGUUCUACUGGACCUGCACAGACAAUGACUUGUAUGUUUGAUUUUCUUCUUUUAACAAUAUUUGAAUUGUUGAGCCCAGUAGUGGCUCUUGACCAUAAAUUUAGGUGGGGCAGAUGUUAGAUCAUAGCAAUGGCUUAUGAUUAACCAACUGUAAGUUUUACAUUCUAAUGGCUGAACACGUGCAUUUUUGAUAGAGGUGUAGUAUCCUUGCAAUUUCAGCUUGA
Long non-coding RNA from Cyprinus carpio (common carp), 599 nucleotides. RefSeq lists it as uncharacterized. The transcript has 3 exons. The record is from RefSeq and is a predicted model, not a curated record. Lineage: Eukaryota; Metazoa; Chordata; Actinopteri; Cypriniformes; Cyprinidae.